GUUCUCAUAGUUCUCAUUGUGUACGCAUAGUUUCCCCCACCCACAGUGUGUGUGUGUGUGUAUGUGUAUGUAUGUGUUCUCACCUGUGAUUGCAGGUUUUAACACGACACUGGAACAGGGUGGGGCAACAAUUCGUUCAUCCUGUUCGCAGUUAUUCCCGGAUAUUUAACAAUUAGCUUGCCUUUAAAACUCAUUCCUGGACAUCAUUGGAUAAUAAUAACAAUAAUUUUUUUAAAAAAGGAUAUAACUUGAGAAGCGAACUGCACAAUGCCUAACGUUGCCAACAACCCACUGGAUGAUGGAGUUCUGAGUCAGGGCUUGCUGAACUGCAGGGCUCAGAACUGUAAUAAUGUGGGAGAUUGCGUGAUUCAGGACGGAUUGCAGGUUUGUAAAUGUUUGCUGGGCUACAGAGGACACUCAUGCCAAGAAACGGUCAAUGACGGAUUAGCCGCCCCACUCACUCUGGGAGUCUUGGGCUUCAUCAUUGGCUUCAUUGUCCUGGCAUUUGUUCUAGCAUUUGUCCAGCAAAGGAGGAGAGAACGUUUAUGGGAACAAACCAACGAGAAAAGGGAGGAAUUGAAAAAGAACGGUGAUUUUUCUCACACAAAAAUAGGGUCAUGGGGAACCUGGAGUCUAUCCCAGGGCGCAUCAGACACAAGGCAGGGGACACCCUGGACGGGGUGCCAAUCCAUCGCAGGGCACAAUCACAUACACACUCACACCCAUUCAUGCACUAUGGACACUUUGGACACGCCAACCAGCCGGCCGUGCAAGUCUUUGGAAGUGGGGGAUGAAACCAGAGUAACGGGAAGAAACUCCUGCAACACAAUUUAAAAAUAUUUUUCAAAUAAUAAUUAAUAUUUAAAAACAAUUACAAACUGAAGCACAGGGAGAAUAUGCAAUAUCCUUAUACACAGGGCCACGUUGGGAAUCGAACCCCCAACCCUGGUGGUGUGAGGCGAACGUAUUAACUGCUAAGCCACCUUUAUAAGAUAUCAUUUGUUUUUUUAAAACAUUUUUUAUAUAUAUAUAUAUAUAUAUAUAUAUAUAUAUAUAUAUAUAUAUAUAUAUAUAUAUAUAUAUAUAUAUAUAUAUAUAUUAAAAAAUAACAAUUACAAACCAUGGAUACAGAUAUGAUGUUACAUUUUUGUUCCGAAUCUUAAAUUGUAAAACGGGAACGUUUUUAUUUAUUUUAUUUUCCUCAUUGUUAAAUGCUUUAUUUUUGUAGACAUGAAAUAAAAUUAUAAUCACAAUGAAAUUUUAAAGGUUUAUUUAUUUAUUUUUUUUAUUAUGUUUUGUAUUGUAUAUCUUUAAGCAUGGUGAUAUGUUUGUCAUUUCACCCAUCAAUAAUAUGCACUAACAUUUGCGGGUUUUGUCGCAUUCUAUUUAAUCAACUUGGGCAAAACAAAGUGAUACUGUAUGGCUUGUAGCAUGUAACUAUUUCAGGGACUUUUCCCAAAGCAUUCACCAUUUCGAGACUACACGUGCAUCUAGAAGUGUUUUGUAUGUACGUGCAGUAAGAGCAGUGUAGCAAUGGUCAAAAAUGCUUUCCAAUAAAAUAGGCAAAAUCUCUUCAAAUCAGACCACCUGUAAGUACUUUGAAAAAAUGGUGGGGAUUAUAUUUCCUGAAAACCACCCACGCUGCUUAUUUAGGCACAAAUAAAGUCUUCAAAAGCACCUAUAAAGGAAGGAAUUAUCACAGUUUGACCCCAAGUUAUGAUGUAGUCGUCGUGUAUUGUUGUAGUAAGCAAGUUUUAGUAAGUGCUUACUCUCUAAUCGCUUUGUGUUUUUUCUCACCACAGGAAAAAGGGGAUUUUUGUAUGUAUAAAGUAUUUCCACUUCGACAAGAACGAAUACUCAUCUGCAUUGUUUGCUUGGAAGCAUGCCUUAAAAGUUUGGGAACUUUUAUACUUCAUACAAAUUCCACAUUUCUACUUUUAAAGGAAUGGAGACGACGCGUGUCUUGUGCUUGGGUGCUCAAAGGCUCUGGUUGCUAAAUGCUAAUGACUGAUAUUUUCUGUGUCUAGCUGUUUAGGCCAAAGUUUUUCUCAAUGUAUUUUCUCAGCGCAAAAGCAUUUUAAAUGCCUUGUGUUGGAAACAUGAAAUGUCACCGAUACUGAUAAUCUCAUUUUACUCUCAAUCUGGUGGGACUGAGGCAAUAACUAUGCAGUAUUUUACGUGCUUAAACUAUCAAGUAUUUCAGUAAUGUGUUGUGCUUGUGUUUGUAUAGCUUCAGAUCUAACUGGUCACUUCAAACCAUGCGGCAUUUAGAUUGACUUCAAGAAUUAUGUGCUCUGUAUUGGGUUGUUUGGGGAAACUCUUGUAUAUUUGAGACAGAUUAACACAUUUCAGUGCCCUUGAGUCUUGAGAAAGAGCAGUAGAAUUAGAUGGUCCACUGUGUUCACAUGUGCUGAUUUAUCCUCUAAAUAUGGCCUGGAAAUCACUCAGGGGAUUUUAUGUUCCAUAAUUGUUUUAUGAAAGCUUUUUAAAAUCUGUUUGUAAUUUACUUAUAAAUUUUCACAUAAAAAUAAAAUCAUUUUGCUCUCUGUGCGUCAUGCCAAGUUAUAUUCAGUCUAUGAGUAUUAAAUAUCACUAAUCUCAGCGACCAAAGAUGAAUUCCAAAGUCAAGUAAAAAUCCUACAUUUGCUUUGUUAUAUUCACCAGUUAGAUCUGCUUUGAUAAAUAAAAAUGUUAGCAUUGGCAAUUUGCCGGAUUAUAAGAGGAAUAGAACACUUUGGAACAUUCAAUUAUAAAAAAUCAAAAUAAAAAAUCAUCUAAAAAUAACAACCCCAUCUUUGAUUAUUUCCCUAUAACAGCACAUCCCACUGUGUAUGAUAUGAGGAUAUAAA
Molecule: long non-coding RNA, 2849 nt
Organism: Ictalurus punctatus (channel catfish)
Lineage: Eukaryota; Metazoa; Chordata; Actinopteri; Siluriformes; Ictaluridae
Source: Ensembl